RNAcentral lists this long non-coding RNA (3461 nucleotides) under Nicotiana tabacum (common tobacco). RNAcentral describes it as "long non-coding RNA (NTAB_LNC002556)". Lineage: Eukaryota; Viridiplantae; Streptophyta; Magnoliopsida; Solanales; Solanaceae. The record is from RNAcentral.
UUCAAAAUAAACCUGACCUUUACAGUUAUUCGAGCAAAACUGUGGAACGGAUUAGCACGGAAGCUCAAAACGGAACCUCAACCACAGACCACGAAACUCGCCGGAAAACUCGAAUCUGACGGUAGCUCGGAUGGAACACUGACUCGACGACCUCGAACGGGAUGAUGACUGGAAACUUCUCACGUUUCUGUCACUGUUUUUGCUGUAUUUCCGACCAGUUAUGGUAGCGGCAGAUGUGAGUCAGAAAAGACGAAGGAGCAAGAGAGGAGAUGAGUAUCGUAUUUUUCGUAAUAGAAUGGAAGGGAGGAGAUUGGCUACUGCUGUGCGUGGUUGUUCAUGGUGUUGGCUGGUCGUUUGUGACGUGAUGAUUCGCCGGAAAUGCUAGCUUCGCGGUGAACGGAGGUCCAACGACGAUGGUGAGCUGGGUGAGGUCGCUUGGUUACUCGGCGUGAAAAUGGAACAACGUUGAGGGCUGGUGGUUUCCGGCGAGGGGGCGCCGAUGUUCUAGAGGAAAGAGCUUGUCGAAAAAGACGACGUAAAGGGGUGGGGGUGUCGUGCUUGUAUGGUUUUGCUUUUGUUCUGGUUUGCUGUAUGAACAAGCGGAAAAAAAGGGGGGGGUCAUUCGAAGAGGAUGACUCGCAGGGGGUGGGUCGGUUUAUUUCGUAGCUUUUUUAUUUUUUGUUCGACUUUUUCCGUUUUUCAGUCCCCCGUUGUUCAUGCACAGCUUUUCGUUCAUUUCAUUUUCGUUCCUUUCGUUCCUUCUCCUCCUAUCUCCCUCUGUUCCCUUUUUUGUGUAGGUAAAAAUGGUUUUAUAGAGUGUGUGGGGUAGGGUAUUANNNNNNNNNNNNNNNNNNNNNNNNNGAGAUUCAGAAACCGGUCAACAUGCAGGUUCAGAACAAAUAAAUGCACAGCACAAGAGAAUGCAUCAGGAUGGUCUUUUCAUUUCAGGUUGCUAGUCCUAGACGGACCCAACUCCUGUGUUGAGCCCCCUAAGUCAAAUGCAACGUGAUGCAAAUAAGCGUUCCUACUAGGGAUCCGGCAUGAAGUCACGUUAUUCUAUGUUCAAAACCUGGGUCGGUGUUCUUGACUGUGUACCCGAGCGGACAACUCGAGUCGAGGAGGGGGCAACUUACCGGGAACCAAAAGGCCAUCCGGCUUCGUAACUUGUCCGGCCUCUUUCUUAUUUCAAGGUAUGACACUAACAGAAUAGGGAGUCUCAACCAGUAAGCACAUCCCCGGAGGUGAAGAGAGAAGGGUGUCAGCACAGUUUAUAUACAGUUCAGAUAAUAUCAAAGCGGUAAAAGCAUCAUUUAACACAUUAGGCACAAACAUGUAAUCAGAUAACAGAUAAAGCCAAAUACAACAAUUCAUCUAAGCUCGAAUUCUGAACCCUGAACCAGAGAUUCUAGGUUCUGGUCCCUAGCAGAGUCGCCAAAGCUGUCACACCUCCUUUUUCGCUACACCCGCAAAGGCGUAAAGGAGUUUUUCUAAUUAAAGGACAAUCGGAACGGGAUUUAAUUAUUAAUUAUUCAGAGUCUCCACUUGGGAUAUUAAUGGUGUCUCAAGUCACCGGUUGAAUUCCGAAUCGAGGAAAUUUAUGACUCUGUUAACAGUCCGCGAACCAGAAAUCCGAGUAAGGAAUUCUGUUAACCCGGGAGAAGGUGUUAGGCAUUCCCGGACUCCGUGGUUCUAACACGGUCGCUUAACUGUUGUAUUUUGAUUUUAUCUGAUUUUAAUACAUGCUAGCUUAUGUGCUUUUUUAUUUGUAAACCGCUUUUAUCAUUAUAUUUUAAAAGAAUUGCAACGUUGUGGAAAUGCGUCUCGGACCACGUCACAAUCAAUGCACCCGUGGUUGUCAACACAUUUCGACAUCUGUUGAGAUUUGGAUUUGGGUCACAUAAAUGUACACCCAAAUUUAGGAAAGUAAUAUUAUUGAACUAACGCUCCUAAGGCAAUUUCGCGUUUACAACUUUGCGAGGGCCAUGAAAAAUUCAACUAAACGGCACGCCUCGAUCUAUCCUUAAGGAAUUGUAAUUAUGUCAUGCGAACGUGUCCACAACCACGACGAUAGAUUAAACGUGACUAAAAGUAUGAUAGCGAUGUGAACUAACUAACUUGAUUAAAUUAUAUUGAUAAAGAAAAUAAAUUUUACAAUGUCCGAAAAUAAAACAUGAGUAAACUUAAUAUAUGUCCUAUUGAAUGCAUAAAUUGUGUCAAAAACCUAGAUUUCAAUCAAUUCCAAUUCACAAGAUAAAUGCCAACCCAUCAAUCCAAUUAAGUGAAACAGUCUAAAUGCGUAUCGACAAGGCAUUCUUGCUAGACACGUUCACCUAUUAAGCAAUCUCAUUCUUCAACAUAUAUUUGCACUAGAAUAACGUGAGUUCAACUAUUUUUAUAAUAAUAAAAAUUUAAACAAAGAACCAACUCAAGCUAAUUUGAAGUAAACACUACAAAUAAUCACAUAAUAUUAACUAAAAUGCAAAAUAAACUAACACAUCAGAUUCAUAUAAGAGGAGAAAUAAAGAUGCAGAGUUUAAGACUGUAUUUCAAAAUGAACUUGACCUUUACAGUUAUUCGAGCAAAACUGUGGAACGGAUUAGCAUGGAAGCUCGAAACGGAACCUCAACCACAGACUACGAAACUCGCCGGAAAACUCGAAUCUGACGGUAGCUCGGAUGGAACACUGACUCGACGACCUCGAACGGGACGAUGAUUGGAAACUUCUCAUGUUUCUAUCACUGCUUUUGCUGUAUUUCCGACCAGUUAUGGUAGCGGCAGAUGCGAGUCGGAAAAGACGAAGGAGCGAGAGAGGAGAUGAGUAUCGUAUUUUUCGUGAUAGAAUGGAAGGGAGGAGAUUGGCUACUACUGUACGUGGCUGUUCAUGGUGUUGGCUGGUCGUUUGUGACGUGAUGCUUCGCUGGAAAUGGUAGCUUCGCGGUGAACGGAGGUCCAACGACGAUGGUGAGCUGGGUGAGGUCGCUUGGUUACUCGGCGUGAAAAUGGAACAACGUUGAGGGCUGGUGGUUUCCGGCGAGGGGGCGCCGGUGUUCUAGAGGAAAGAGCUUGUUGAAGAAGACGACGUAAAGGGGUGGGGGUGUCGUGCUUGUAUGGUUUUGCUUUUGUUCUGGUUUGCUGAAGGAAUGAACAAGCGGAAAAAAAAGGAGGGGUCGUUCGAAGAGGAUGACUCGCAGGGGGUGGGGUCGGUUUUUUUGCGUAGCUUUUGUUAUUUUUUGUUCCACUUUUUCCGUUUUUCAGUCCCCCGUUGUUCAUGCACAGCUUUCCGUUCAUUUCAUUUUCGUUCCUUCUCCUCCUAUCUCCCUCCGUUUCCUUUUUUGUGUAGGUAAAAAUGGUUUUAUAGAGUGUGUGGGGUAGGGUAUUAUGUGGGGGGGUUUAUUUGGGGAGAAGGUGUUAUGUGAGGUAAUAUUUUGGGAGGAAGGUUUUAGGUGGGGAAAUAUUUUGGG